RNAcentral lists this ribosomal RNA (160 nucleotides) under uncultured bacterium. Its description in RNAcentral is "partial 16S rRNA". It matches the Rfam family "Bacterial small subunit ribosomal RNA", at positions 355 to 507 of the family's 1533-position model. The record is from RNAcentral.
CUAAGAAUAUUCCGCAAUGGACGAAAGUCUGACGGAGCGACGCCGCGUGGAUGAUGAAGGCCGAAAGGUUGUAAAGUCCUUUUGUCGACGAAGAAUAAGUGGGGGAGGAAAUGCCCUCAUGAUGACGUUAGUCGGCGAAUAAGCCCCGGCUAAUUACGUG